AGAGUUUGAUCCUGGCUCAGGAUCAACGCUGGCGGCGUGCAUGAGACAUGCAAGUCGAACGGACGACUCGGGCUUGCCUGAGUCGUUAGUGGCGGACGGCUGAGUAACGCGUGGGUGACCUGCCUCGAAGUGGGGAAUAACUGCCCGAAAGGGUGGCUAAUACCGCAUGUGACGGUGCGUUCGAUCGCAUCAUGAAAGCAGCAAUGCGCUUCGAGAGGGGCCUGCGUCCGAUUAGCUCGUUGGUGGGGUAACGGCUCACCAAGGCGACGAUCGGUAGGUGGUCUGAGAGGACGAUCACCCAGACUGGGACUGAGACACGGCCCAGACACCUACGGGUGGCAGCAGUCGAGAAUUUUUCUCAAUGGGGGAAACCCUGAAGGAGCGACGCCGCGUGGAGGAUGAAGGUCUUCGGAUUGUAAAC
This 421-nucleotide ribosomal RNA is filed under the name uncultured bacterium. RNAcentral's name for it is "bacterial SSU rRNA". It matches the Rfam family "Bacterial small subunit ribosomal RNA", at positions 8 to 430 of the family's 1533-position model. The record is from RNAcentral.